This 880-nucleotide long non-coding RNA is filed under the name Coturnix japonica (Japanese quail). Its description in RNAcentral is "lncRNA (ENSCJPG00005007211.1)". The record is from RNAcentral. Lineage: Eukaryota; Metazoa; Chordata; Aves; Galliformes; Phasianidae.
UAAUGAGAAUUUUGAUCUAAAUAAUACUUUGCAUCUCACUUCAAACAUUUCUGGAAUUCAUAUUUCACGAGUUGUGAAGGCUUCUUCCAUUCAUUCACCAGGAUUUCCUAGCAAAUGAGAGUCCACUUCCUUCCUAGUUAACUACAAAUUUGUAUUCUACCUAGGCUUAAUGCUAGUGAAGGAAAAUUAACUUUCAUUUUUACCAGAAUAUUUGAGGUGCAGAUGAAAAAUGCCUUGCUGUAUUGCAAAAGUGUUAAGUUAUGCUUUUUUUGCCAGGUUUGUGGCAAUCAGAGUUUUUCACAGAGCUCUGAUCCUGAAUGAUUACUUUGGUCCCAGGCAUCUGAACACAGGGCUGUUCUGCAUUGAAUGUGUGUGCUGGCUUCUUGGGAUAGGAAGGAUGAUUUUGAUUUUCUACAGAGAAACAUAUUUCCCAGAUUGAAGAGGACUGCGUGUGAGGAAAUACUAAGACACAAGAAAAGUUGUUCCAAAGAUAUUAAAAAAAUUCUUUGAUCAUGGUGAUGGUGUCAAGCAGCAGAUUACUGAGUACGUUCUCUUCUAUUUAACUUACAGAAAAAUAAGUGAAAGACACAAAGUAUUCCAUUCUUCUAUGUCUUUUCCCUUCUAUACUACAAUUAACAAAAUCAUAUCUAUUUGAAGCUUCAAGUAAACUUGAAAAAUGCUUGAAGUACAUAAAAUUAAGUAGCAAGAUAAAAGGUUUUAAACAGUUGAGACAUUUUUUUUUUUCAUUAGUUAGAGGAGCUUGUGGGGUAGUUCUAUGGAUAUCAGGACAAAUGAAGAGAUUUUUUUAAAAAAAGAUGGGAAUAUGAGCAUCUGCAGAAGACUUCCAUAGAAGAAGAACAUGUCUUAUGGAGAAGUCUUU